Non-coding RNA from Biomphalaria pfeifferi, 2291 nucleotides. NCBI's taxonomy places the organism in Eukaryota, Metazoa, Mollusca, Gastropoda, Planorbidae. The record is from the annotation of a GenBank genome assembly.
UACAAAGUUAGUGAACCUUUCCAUAGUGAAGCAUAACUGGAGGGAGAAAAAAAGUCUCAGUUCUUAAAGUAGAAAUGAAUCCAUUUUUAUAUUACUGUACUGCACACAAAGAAAUAUUUUAGAAAAAAAAUCACAGUUUAACUUCAAAAUGACAAACCUACAUUGAUGUUAAAAUAACAACCAAUUACUUAAGACAAUUCAGCACAAUUUUUAAAAAUGCCUAUUGCAUAGCACACCUUUCAUUUUAUAGCAGUCUCAAUGCGCUAUCUAUGUUUUAAUCUCUUCGGUGGACCAGUGGAGAAAGGGGGUAUCUGGACAAAGUUUUCCGUGCUGCCUUAAGAAAACACAACUUAGGUUGAAGUCAGAAUUUGAACUGAAAUCCCCUUCAUAGGUAGCCAAGCAGUUUAUGUCACUCAAUCACACAUUACAUGCACUAUGUAAAAAUUAAUCGUUAUCUUCAACUUGCAUGAACAGCUUUGAUCUAUAUGAAAAUGUACACAUUACUGAACAAUCAAAGUUCUAAAUCUAAAUAGCUUUGAUGAAUAGGAAAAGUGACCGCAGUAUCCAGUCUACCAAUAUUUUGUUAAAAGAGAGCUCUAGGUAAUCUCCCAAGUCUGCAGAUAGUCUUUCAAGUCUGCAGAUGGCUAGCAAUUUCAGGAGCAAGUGUUACUGGUUCUAAUUUUUAAAAUUGCUUUUAGUAUAAAAAGUGCAUCUUUCAUGCUCAAUAGCUUGCUCUGUGCACUAUGGGCCAAACUCUUUUGUGAAUCUGCAGGGGUAGAGGGAUCUGGGAGAAGGUUUCAGUGCUGCCUUUAGGCGCGCAGUAAACACAACUCACAUCAUGAUGGAUUUUGAAUGUAUGCUAGUAUGGUCCCCCCUUGAUAGGUAGCCAAGCCAUACAUUUCACCAUUUCUCAUCUUUAUGAAAAGCAGAACAUAUAGUGAUUUUAUUUUUUAAAAAUGCCAAAGAUACUUUCAUUUAAAAUUUAGUUAUUACAGCUAGGGAAAGGUAAUUUAGAUUUUUACAGCACAUUAUUUAACUAAAUAGACAUACCCUCUUAAAAAUUUACAAAUGUCCCCUGACUGUAUCACAUGACCAGCCUCAUCCCAGACUGACACAUUCAUGGAGCCUGUCUUGUCUGCCACUUUACAAGACCUGACAUCAUGUCCGUCUUUGGUUCUUGUUGGUUUGCCUGAAAUCAUUCAAAUAAAGCAGCUUUCUUCUUUGAUCUUAUCAAUUACAUAGUUCUUUCGAAAACAUAAUUACAUCCUAUGCGUUUCCAUGUGUUAAUCUAUUCAUGCAUUUUAAUGAGUGACUUAAACUCAUCUAAGUCAUUGGUUUUCCCUUAGCUGAUUCAGACCUGUUCCAUGCUUUAAUUGUUGCCCUAGCAUAUGGAAUAAAAAAUGUGCUUUUAUCUUUGUGUCUUUUUGAGUAUUUAUUAUGUUUUUGUGUAAAUUGUAAGUAAUGGUUCAGUGUUUAUAUAUUAUUGCUACUUUAGUUUUGCAGUCUUCUGCGCUAAAAUGUCUUUAUAUUUAGUGAUUUUACUAAUUGUGUUUACUCUAGUAAAAAGUGAAUAUUCAUUUGUUAUUUAAUUGUUACAUGGAUAAUUCCAUCAAACACAUGUUUUUUUUUACAAUUAUUUAAGUGUAUAAGAUUUGAGACAUGAAAUAUACUGAAAAAGAAAUAACUCAUUCCUCAAUGUUAUGUUAAAAAACCUUAACCAGUCAAACAAAGGUAAAAUUAUUAGCCACUUUAGCUUUAUAUGCUGGAAUCUGUUAAUAGGUUUUGUCUUUGAGAGGAGACAUAUUUUAGAGGGAGGUUGUUGUUUUUUUUAAAAGCCAUGACGCAGUAAAAUCACUGACCUUACCCUGGCCCAGUAAAAACACUGACCCUAUAUAUCUCCCAAUAUGUCAAACAAAAGCAGAAUUAUUUUGCAACUAUGACAAGACAAUGGUAGCAUUGAGUAGCAGUUAUUUUUAAAAUUCUUUUCUUUACUUACCAACUUCUAAGACAAUAAAAAUGAUGUGUAAAUUCUUCAUUCCUGGUCGAAUAUCUUUUAACGACAGGUACUGCUGCUCAGGAACAGUUUUACCUCGAUCUACUUGCAUCAUCAUCUUUUUUUUACUUCUCCUUAAAAACAAUCUGGAUGAGAAAAAAAAAUCAUUAUUAUAUAUUUAGCCACUUUUUAUAGACUUUAAAACAAAAGGGGAAAUAAGAGUUGAGAACAGUGACAUCCAAACAAACAGCACUGUGUGACAUAUCAUGCCCCCGUGAUGCAGAACUAUCCAAUCACU